Molecule: ribosomal RNA, 450 nt
Filed under: uncultured bacterium
Lineage: Bacteria
Description: partial 16S ribosomal RNA
Rfam family: Bacterial small subunit ribosomal RNA
Source: RNAcentral
CCUACGGGGGGCUGCAGUGAGGAAUAUGGGUCAAUGGGCGAGAGCCUGAACCAGCCAUCCCGCGUGCAGGAAGACGGCCCUAUGGGUUGUAAACUGCUUUUUUAUGGGAAGAAAAAGCUCUACGUGUAGGGCACUGACGGUACCAUAUGAAUAAGCAUCGGCUAACUCCGUGCCAGCAGCCGCGGUAAUACGGAGGAUGCGAGCGUUAUCAGGAUUUAUUAGUUUUUAAGCGGAAGAAGAAGUCAGUUGAGAAAUCUCACAGCUUAACUGUGAAACUGCCAUUGAUACUGGUUUUCUUGAGUAUAGUUGAAGUAGGCGGAAUGUGUAAUGUAGCGGUGAAAUGCUUAGAUAUUACACAGAACACCGAUUGCGAAGGCAGCUUACUAAGCUAUUACUGACGCUGAUGCACGAAAGCGUGGGGAGCGAACAGGAUUAGAUACCCCUGUAGUC